UAGGGGCGAAAGACUAAUCGAACCAU
RNAcentral lists this non-coding RNA (26 nucleotides) under Arabidopsis thaliana (thale cress). The record is from RNAcentral. Lineage: Eukaryota; Viridiplantae; Streptophyta; Magnoliopsida; Brassicales; Brassicaceae. RNAcentral also lists the same sequence under 6 other names.